AAAAAAAUUCGAACGGAUAUCGAAUAUCAAGCAAUGCAUUAGAAUAUAUUCGAAUAUCUACGAGCCCAGAUUCUUUCCUUACUGUAAUAUUGUUUGCUAGAAAGGCCAAUCUAUCAACUUGAUCUGGAACAAGUGCGGCUCUCUUUUUAUUGGUGAUAUUCCCCGCGGUGGAGAAUGCAUGUUUGGAGCGCUCACCUGGCGCGCGCGCGCGCACACACACACACUUCAACGGUUACUUUACCAUCUCCGGUGUAGAACCCAACAUAUUUCUCAACACUACUUUUUAGAUGAGUUUGGGUCGUAAUUGCAUGUCUGCUCAGGCUGGCUUUUCUGUGCAUUAUCUCUAGCUGCCAACUCUCACACAUAUUGGUUUUACACGCCACACCCCUGAUUUCUCAAGCUGAAUUGUCAACCCGGUCGGUCUAAUGCCUGAAAGAUGAUUUUAUCUAUAGAUAUACCGGCUUCCUGAUGCACGCAUAUUAGUUCAAAUCUCCCGCAAUCUAAAGCGUGCGCAUGCAAGACAGAGACUGUGCUCCGCAGCGCGCGCACACCAGAGAGGGAGAAUGGCAUUAAACUAAUCAUACACUGUAAAAUUGCGCUAUUACACGUCACUUUAAAAACCGAAUAGUUUAUUUAUGGUUCACGUCAUGUUCGAAUGUACAUUUGAAUAUUGAAUAAAAAGUGACAGCCCUAUUGUGUUGUGCAUUGUCAUUUGAGUGUGAUGAUAACUUUGAAUUUAUAUGCUAGGACAUCCCCCCCCAAAAGUGUCAGAGUGAUGUAUGCACAGGGGAUAGUAGCUUUGUUUCCCUGUCUAGAAGACCCAUACUCACAACAUGGAUAUGAACAUUACUACGAUCCAGAGAGUGGUUCGGGAUAUCUUUCAUGGCGAUUAAAGACCAUACAAAGAAAAACAGCAGAGGAAAGAGGUGCCUCAAUCAGCAUAUCUCCUAAAGUUGGUGGGCCAGGUCGUGGUCGUCAGCCCUGUACCUUUGACAGAGACCCAUCUGAUGAGGAUGUGGAAGCAGCUAUUUCUGUUUUGAGACACUCUGCUGAUGAAAAGACUGUCCGUGAGAAGAUGAAAGUGACCUUCAUAUAUCGGCAAGCAAUGGUCAACGAUGAAGCCAAAUCAUCAGAUGUCUUCUCUGUUUUUCCACGAUUUCUGGACACACCGGGACUGGUAUGACAUCUUAAUUCACAGCAUUACCAAAAUAUCCAAUGUAGCAUUAGGUUUCACUCAUCACUUCUGUCGAUGUGUGUUACAUUGCAGAUAGAACAAGAUUUCAGAUUUCUGUUUGGUGAGGCCACGGCCAACAAAUUAUUGGAAAAGUGGCCAACCACUUUUAAAGCAAAAGUAAUAAUGGGUUUGUAUAUCGCCAAAACUUGGUUAUCUGUGGCAAAGUUGAAUCUGAAGUGCCUGUGUUUUUUCAGAUUGAGUCAGUUCUGAUAAUGUGUGAAAAUCUGUUGCUACUCACAGUCCCUUUAGGUACAGUAACAUCUCAAGAACAUUUCCAUGCAUAUGAGGUGAUCAGGACAAAGCAGGAUUUAGUUUUUUUUCACGUCGACAACCUGCAUUACCCUAUGCCUUUUGACUUAAAAAUGUCAUAUGGAGGGAAUGACACAACUCUCUUUGUCGUGCCAUAUUGAUUUCUCUGGUAAACAGUUUGUGAUGUUAAUGAUGUUGUACAUGUUAUGUUUC
Long non-coding RNA from Esox lucius (northern pike), 1696 nucleotides. RefSeq lists it as uncharacterized. Lineage: Eukaryota; Metazoa; Chordata; Actinopteri; Esociformes; Esocidae. The transcript is spliced from 3 exons. The record is from RefSeq and is a predicted model, not a curated record.